UUUCCGUAGGUGAACCUGCGGAAGGAUCAUUACCGAGUGAGGGCCCUCUGGGUCCAACCUCCCACCCGUGUUUAUCGUACCUUGUUGCUUCUGCGGGCCCGCCUCACGGCCGCCGGGGCGCACCCGCCCCCGGGCCCCCGCCCGCCGAAGACACCAUUGAACGCUGUCUGAAGAUUGCAGUCUGAGCAUCUUAGCUCACUCAGUUAAAACUUUCAACAACGGAUCUCUUGGUUCCG
RNAcentral lists this unclassified non-coding RNA (236 nucleotides) under plant metagenome. RNAcentral's name for it is "partial contains small subunit ribosomal RNA, internal transcribed spacer 1, and 5.8S ribosomal RNA". The record is from RNAcentral.